AUGACAAAUGGCUCUUGCUCAAAACACGAGCCCGGAGCCCUGGAGCUUCUCCUGGACGAUGCGGUCGAGCUUCUCCCCCAUCUCGCGGCUCAUGUGGUUCGCCCAGUCCCCAACCUCUCCCUUUCUAUAGAACACGGAGUUAUCAACGUGAACUCUAUUCCCAUGGCUGACGCCGCCGACCUGGUUCACCUCCAGGCCAGUGAGCGUCUCGAAGCUGCACAUCCUCGCCACCUCCUCCGCGACGCCGGACCUCUCCUCCUCCUCGGUCAGCGGGACGCCGAGGAAGCUCGCGAGCCUCCUCACGACCCGCGCCGGGUCCGACUUGAUCUCCUCGUACUUGAGGAAGAGGACUGUGUCCGGCCUAGCCACGCUCUCCUCCCAGUACUCCAGGCAGUGGUCCCAGAAGGGGCCGUAGGGCGAGAACCCCUCGCAGAACAUGUCGUAGGCGUCGUCCAUGGACAGGCCGGCGCCGCCGGCCCGCGCCACCAGCUUGUUCUCGAAGUGCAGCCUGGAGACGAGCGUGUCCUUGGGGUCCCGGCACAGGUACACGACCCGGCAGCCCAGCGACCGCGUCUCCGGCCUGAGCAGCGACAUGGGCAUGUGCGUUGCGAGGAGCCUCGGGGACGGGAGCGUGUCGGUGUCGACGUGUCCCCCGCCAGCGCCGGGGAUCUCGAUGAACGGCACGAGGUGCUGUGCGUGGCGGGUGAGGAGCGGGUGGUCGGCGGCGCCGAGGCCGUGGCGGGACCGCGUGGCGACGGUGAAGGCGAGGGCCUUGAGCCAGGUGGUGCCGCACUUGGGCUGCGUGGCAAGGACGACGUCGUCUGCGCGGGGCAGGAAGGCUCGUCUGGUGCGCAGGACCCCCUCCAGCAUCCCCGGCUUGAACCAGUAGCCCUUGUACUGGAUGAGCGUCUGCGGCCACCCCUCCCUUGA
Molecule: ribosomal RNA, 930 nt
Filed under: Triticum aestivum (bread wheat)
Lineage: Eukaryota; Viridiplantae; Streptophyta; Magnoliopsida; Poales; Poaceae
Description: partial small subunit ribosomal RNA
Source: RNAcentral